AUCACCUUGAACAUUUCUCAUCCCUUGCAUUAGUCUGGGCGUGCACCUACCGAGCAGAAAGGAAUAUGUAAAAGGAUGCCAAACUCUUGUGUCCUGUGAAGAGUGAUGCAGACAAAGUGCCAGCUAUUCAGCAGUGACUCUGCAAUUAAAGGGCUAUGAAUACACGACUUUCAGGUCCUGGAAGGAAGCCCUUCUGCAUGAUUACAGUUCUGAUAUCACAUCGCAUGUAACUUGACUCUCAGAUCCAAGUAAUGACAAUUUAAGGCUUGUCUACAUGGGAAGUCAUUCCAGAAGAGCUAUUCCUGAUCAACUCUAUGGCCUGGUCUACACUACGAGUUUGUCGAAUUUAGCAGCGUUAAAUCGAAUUAACCAUG
This is a long non-coding RNA of Terrapene triunguis (Three-toed box turtle), 374 nucleotides long. RefSeq lists it as uncharacterized. The transcript has 3 exons. The record is from RefSeq and is a predicted model, not a curated record. NCBI's taxonomy places the organism in Eukaryota, Metazoa, Chordata, Testudines, Emydidae.